GACGAACGCUGGCGGCGUGCUUAACACAUGCAAGUCGAACGGAAAGGCCCUGCUUUUGUGGGGUGCUCGAGUGGCGAACGGGUGAGUAACACGUGAGUAACCUGCCCUUGACUUUGGGAUAACUUCAGGAAACUGGGGCUAAUACCGGAUAGGAGCUCCUGCUGCAUGGUGGGGGUUGGAAAGUUUCGGCGGUUGGGGAUGGACUCGCGGCUUAUCAGCUUGUUGGUGGGGUAGUGGCUUACCAAGGCUUUGACGGGUAGCCGGCCUGAGAGGGUGACCGGCCACAUUGGGACUGAGAUACGGCCCAGACUCCUACGGGAGGCAGCAGUGGGGAAUAUUGCACAAUGGGCGGAAGCCUGGUGCAGCCACGCCGCGUGCGGGAUGACGGCCUUCGGGUUGUGAACCGCUUCCGCCUGUGACGAAGCGUGAGUGACGGUAAUGGGUAAAGAAGCACCGGCUAACUACGUG
This 468-nucleotide ribosomal RNA is filed under the name uncultured bacterium. RNAcentral describes it as "partial 16S ribosomal RNA". It matches the Rfam family "Bacterial small subunit ribosomal RNA", at positions 28 to 507 of the family's 1533-position model. The record is from RNAcentral.